GCCUGUCCCAGUUCGGACUGGAGUCUGNAACCCGACUCCACGAAGUUGGAUUCGCUAGUAAUCGCGCAUCAGCCAUGGCGCGGUGAAUACGUUCCCGGGCCUUGUACACACCGCCCGUCAAGCCAUGGGAGCCGGGGCGCCUGAAGUCCGGGACCGCGAGGAUCGGCCUAGGGCGAAACUGGUAACUGGGGCUAAGUCGUAACAAGGUAUC
Molecule: ribosomal RNA, 211 nt
Filed under: uncultured bacterium
Lineage: Bacteria
Description: partial 16S ribosomal RNA
Rfam family: Bacterial small subunit ribosomal RNA
Source: RNAcentral